GAUCAUGGCUCAGGAUGAACGCUAGCUACAGGCUUAACACAUGCGAGUCGAGGGGCAGCAUGGUCUUAGCUUGCUAAGGCCGAUGGCGACCGGCGCACGGGUGAGUAACACGUAUCCAACCUGCCGUCUACUCUUGGACAGCCCUCUGAAAGGAAGAUUAAUACAAGAUGGCAUCAUGAGUCCGCAUGUUCACAUGAUUAAAGGUAUUCCGGUAGACGAUGGGGA
Molecule: ribosomal RNA, 225 nt
Filed under: uncultured bacterium
Lineage: Bacteria
Description: partial 16S ribosomal RNA
Rfam family: Bacterial small subunit ribosomal RNA
Source: RNAcentral